AGGGAGAGGCAGCUCAUGCUGGGUACCAGUCUGUGCCAGGAGCAGACAAGUACCGUCAUGUGUGUUUAUAUUCAUUACAGCUUCACUUGCUUUAACCUGACUCCCAGCAUCUUCAUCACCCUCCCUCUGCGCUUUCACCUCCUCCUCCUCGGUGUCUCCUUCCACUCCUCUCCGCUUCUGCAUCCCCGUGCUUCCCGCUUCACCCUUCGCCUCCUCCCCCGGAGUCUCCUCCCGCAGACCGGCCGGGUUAGGGACCCCCGCAGCGGUCGGACUUUCACGCGAGGUCCCCGGCUCCAUGUGCGGCCUGGAGUUUCCCGAUGUUUUUUGGCGUUAACCCCCCCGGCUUUAGGAGCCCGGUGUCCGCGUUUACACUGCGGUGAAACGGACUGAAUCCAGACCACUAAACAGAGAAAGCAUGUUCGGCUCAGGCACAAACAACAUCAUGUGGCCGAUGCUAACUCGAGCCAGCAUGGAGCUCGCCUGUUCCUCCCGCUGCUCAUGAUGCCAACACCGACUGUGGUACUCAGCCCUGCCCGGCUUUGUUUUAUAUCGAAUUAUCAGUCUAUUCAUACUCAUAUAUCCUUUCUUUAUCUGUAAUGUAUCCAGUAAUAAAUGUAGCCCGCGUGACCAGUGUUACACAUGUUAUAAUUAAAGAGGAGAGGAGGAGAUGAAUGAUCUUUAAUCACAUGAUCUAUCCUUAUAAUCCAGUUUGGCCGUCUUUCCAUUGGCAUUUAAUACAAAUAAGGGUAAAACCAUAGGGUAAAACUGGAGUGAAGCGUUCUUUCUUUCUUUCUUUCUUUCUUUCGUUUAUAGAACGAUUUUUAAAACGUUUAAUGGGAUCAAGCGGCAUGCAACCUCCGGUCUCAAACUAUGAAGCCCAUGAGGGCGUGCUUGAUUAAAACAUACAAAAGAAGAUAAGGAC
Long non-coding RNA from Notolabrus celidotus (New Zealand spotty), 922 nucleotides. RefSeq lists it as uncharacterized. Lineage: Eukaryota; Metazoa; Chordata; Actinopteri; Labriformes; Labridae. The record is from RefSeq and is a predicted model, not a curated record. The transcript has 3 exons.